CUCCGUGCUUGCGCAUCGAACGGUUGACACGCUAUCCACCCCCAGACCCGUGACCCCCCGAGCUGCAAGGCCCGAGGGGAGUGAGUGCCUCCAGUCGUUGUGCUUGCGUUGGAUACCCGUCCGUCCCCCUUCGAAGGGGGAAGGAUCGGCCCGACAUCGUCCCACGUCCGUCCGUCCGACGCCUCGCGAGGGGCUUCUCGGAGGACCACGAAGCGGCUCCCGCGAUCCACUCGCGCCGGCACGAUCGGCGAGUUUGGCUCGUGGGACGUCGUUGCUCUCUCGGAUGCGGUGCAUGCCGAGGACUGCCGGGGCCUUGGUCCCAGCCCGUCCCGAACGAACGAUUCGAUUAGAUUCUCCUGAGAGACGCUCGCGUCGUCCGACGCCCGCGAGGGCCGGCGCGCGAGAUCUCGCGGAGGGUUGCUACCUGGUUGAUCCUGCCAG
RNAcentral lists this unclassified non-coding RNA (441 nucleotides) under Chamaecrista ramosa var. erythrocalyx. Its description in RNAcentral is "partial external transcribed spacer". The record is from RNAcentral. Lineage: Eukaryota; Viridiplantae; Streptophyta; Magnoliopsida; Fabales; Fabaceae.